Small nucleolar RNA from Etheostoma cragini (Arkansas darter), 91 nucleotides. RefSeq annotates it as Z30 small nucleolar RNA. The record is from RefSeq and is a predicted model, not a curated record. NCBI's taxonomy places the organism in Eukaryota, Metazoa, Chordata, Actinopteri, Perciformes, Percidae. The transcript has a single exon.
UUGCAAUGAUGUAGAUGUGACUGAACUGACACUGCUGACCUCUGGGUCAUCUCUGGCCAGGAAAUUACCUGUUAAUCUUCUCUCUGAGCAG